UCAGGCCUAACACAUGCAAGUCGAACGAGACCUUCGGGUCUAGUGGCGCACGGGUGCGUAACGCGUGGGAAUCUGCCCUUGGGUUCGGAAUAACUCAGAGAAAUUUGAGCUAAUACCGGAUGAUGACGAAAGUCCAAAGAUUUAUCGCCCAAGGAUGAGCCCGCGUAAGAUUAGCUUGUUGGUGGGGUAAUGGCCCACCAAGGCGACGAUCUUUAGCUGGUCUGAGAGGAUGAUCAGCCACGCUGGGACUGAGACACGGCCCAGACUCCUACGGGAGGCAGCAGUGGGGAAUAUUGGACAAUGGGCGAAAGCCUGAUCCAGCAAUGCCGCGUGAGUGAUGAAGGCCUUAGGGUUGUAAAGCUCUUUACCAGGGAUGAUA
Molecule: ribosomal RNA, 379 nt
Filed under: uncultured bacterium
Lineage: Bacteria
Description: bacterial SSU rRNA
Rfam family: Bacterial small subunit ribosomal RNA
Source: RNAcentral